AUGAGGAUUUUAAUUGCGUUGUUAAAAUCUUCUUUUCCCCUACUUGUCUCCAGCCAAGGUGCUGGGAAAGACACCCGGACACUUCAUGAAAAAGUCAAGGGAAUAACCUCAGAAAUAAUACUGCCUGGAGAUGCUGAACCAGAACUCAACCCCUUUUUGCUCUGGAUCAUCUUUGUCAUCAUCACCCCCACAAAAACUGCGAAGGAAGAAGGCACUCGAAGCUGAACACAAACUGCUAGAUUCAGAGGACACUGCCCCAGCUGUGAGUUAAUGACCACUAAGGAUUACAGGCUAUAUGAACAGGAACAGCUUCUUUCCUUUUUUCCCUGCUGGCAUGUGAGCUGUAAAAGGGACUAACAAGGAGAGGGAGAGAGAAGCUUAAGAGCUAAACAGCAGGUUAAGGAUCCAGUGUUGUUACUGCUGGGGUGCAGGUUUGAUCUUCCACAUCCAUUGGGCAUGGCCAAAAAAAAAAAAAAAAAAAAAUAGGAAGGGGCAGGUAGCUUCUCCCCUGCCAUCCUCAUCAUCACCACCAACAACCCUCAAGCCUUGUCCUGAGUGGGGUAGGAAGAAGGAAGGAAAUAAGCAGGACACCCCACAGAGCUCCUGAGGGGAAGAGAGUUCGUAUGCUCUGCCCCAACUGGAGUUUCCUAGGCAGCCCCGUGAGACACCUCUGCCUGGAGAGGGGCCAGUGGGGAGAAGACGUGGCACGGUAAGAUAGGAGAGCCCGGAGCCCACUUCCAGGCUCCCUAGAGUCAAGCCUUGUAAUGGUCACAUGUGGUCUGGAGGCCUUAACUGGAACCUGAGCCAACUUGCCAGCCCCAAGAGGACAUUUGGAUAAAGAGAAGAGGAGCAUGUGGGCUGGGUGUGGACCCCCUGCCAGGGGCGAGGGGCCAGGGGCUGCUUCUCAGAAGCCGCAGAAAUGAGAGGAAGCAGUAGGAGGUCCUUUGUGCUUCCUGAAAAGGCCGGCCUCUAGCAGAAUCUCUACCAGGGGCCAGGCCAGAGGCGAGGCCAGCAUCAGCAGCAGCAGAGAAGUAAACUCCGAUGUGCCAGGAAGCACAUGCCUUCCCUCUCCCAGAAAACAGCCAGCCGUGAAAACGGACUUCCCCACCACUGAGAGCUACCAAGGAAAUCAGGAUGCCAAAGGCAAGAAAAUUAUACUCAGUUAUAAAAUGCAUUCCAUGGGAGUUCUCCUUGUGGCUCAGUGGUACUGAACCUGACCAGGAUCCAUGCGGACUCGGGUUGGAUCCCUGGCCUCGCUCAGUGAGUUAGGGAUCCGGCGUUGCAGUGAGCUGUGAUAUAGGUCACAGAUGCUGCUCGAAUCCCAUGUGACUGUGGCUGUGGCUGUGGCUGCGGCUGGAGGUUGCAGCUCUGAUUCAACCCCUAGCCUGGGAAUUUCCAAAUGCUGUGGGUGUGGCCCUAAAAAAGACAAUAAAUAAAUUAAUUAAAUGCA
Molecule: long non-coding RNA, 1450 nt
Filed under: Sus scrofa (pig)
Lineage: Eukaryota; Metazoa; Chordata; Mammalia; Artiodactyla; Suidae
Description: lncRNA (ENSSSCG00055006707.1)
Source: RNAcentral